GUUUGUUUGUGGCUGCUGGAAUCACAGAGAAGAUCGACCUAGAGAAAGUUUGUCUACUCUGUGAGACCUAAGACUGCUGUGAAAAAACAUAUUUGCAGUUGCAGCUGGCCAUCCGUGAAGAAGCAUCCACUGAAUCUGUCAGAAAGUGCUCUGGGUUGGAUAACAAUGACGAGGCACUCAUCUGAACGGGUCCGUCUGGCGUCUCCUGUCUGCCCUACAUCAUCCUGUCCUCCAAAGUCUUCAUCUGCUUUCUCCUACAUGGAAAUCUUAAUAAACGUCACCC
Cheilinus undulatus (humphead wrasse) is the source of this 283-nucleotide long non-coding RNA. RefSeq lists it as uncharacterized. The transcript has 4 exons. The record is from RefSeq and is a predicted model, not a curated record. Lineage: Eukaryota; Metazoa; Chordata; Actinopteri; Labriformes; Labridae.